This 507-nucleotide ribosomal RNA is filed under the name uncultured bacterium. Its description in RNAcentral is "partial 16S ribosomal RNA". The record is from RNAcentral.
GGAGUUAGCCGGUGCUUCUUCUGUGAGUGAUGUCCUUCCUGCCGGUUAUUGACCCGCAGGCCUUCUUCCUCACUGAAAGUGCUUUACAACCCGAAGGCCUUCUUCACACACGCGGCAUGGCUGGAUCAGGGUUGCCCCCAUUGUCCAAUAUUCCCCACUGCUGCCUCCCGUAGGAGUCUGGGCCGUGUCUCAGUCCCAGUGUGGCUGAUCAUCCUCUCAGACCAGCUACGGAUCGUCGCCUUGGUGAGCCGUUACCUCACCAACCAGCUAAUCCGACAUAGGCUCAUCCGAUAGCGCGAGGCCCGAAGGUCCCCCGCUUUCCCCCGUAGGGCGUAUGCGGUAUUAGCCUGGGUUUCCCCAGGUUAUCCCCCACUACCGGGCAGAUUCCUAUGCAUUACUCACCCGUCCGCCGCUCGCCACCAGGGAGCAAGCUCCCCGUGCUGCCGCUCGACUUGCAUGUGUUAGGCCUGCCGCCAGCGUUCAAUAUGAGCCAGAAUCGAACCCUGA